UGGGGAAUUUUGCGCAAUGGGGGAAACCCUGACGCAGCAACGCCGCGUGGAGGAUGAAGUCCCUUGGGACGUAAACUCCUUUCGACCGGGACGAAUAAUGACUGUACCGGAAGAAGAAGCCCCGGCUAACUUCGUGCCAGCAGCCGCGGUAAUACGAGGGGGGCAAGCGUUGUUCGGAAUUAUUGGGCGUAAAGGGUGCGUAGGCGGUCUGACAAGUCUGAUGUGAAAUCUAUGGGCUCAACCCAUAGUCUGCAUCGGAAACUGUCGGGCUUGAGUAUGGGAGAGGUGAGUGGAAUUUCCGGUGUAGCGGUGAAAUGCGUAGAUAUCGGAAGGAACACCUGUGGCGAAAGCGGCUCACUGGACCAUUACUGACGCUGAUGCACGAAAGCUAGGGGAGCAAAC
RNAcentral lists this ribosomal RNA (402 nucleotides) under uncultured bacterium. Its description in RNAcentral is "bacterial SSU rRNA". It matches the Rfam family "Bacterial small subunit ribosomal RNA", at positions 355 to 773 of the family's 1533-position model. The record is from RNAcentral.